This 253-nucleotide ribosomal RNA is filed under the name uncultured bacterium. RNAcentral's name for it is "partial 16S ribosomal RNA". It matches the Rfam family "Bacterial small subunit ribosomal RNA", at positions 524 to 776 of the family's 1533-position model. The record is from RNAcentral.
GACGAAGGAUGCAAGCGUUAUCCGGAUUCAUUGGGUUUAAAGGGUGCGUAGGCGGCGCGGUAAGUCGGGUGUGAAAUCUCGGGGCUUAACUCCGAAACUGCAUUCGAUACUGCCGUGCUUGAGGACUGGAGAGGAGACUGGAAUUUACGGUGUAGCGGUGAAAUGCGUAGAUAUCGUAAGGAAGACCAGUGGCGAAGGCGGGUCUCUGGACAGUUCCUGACGCUGAGGCACGAAGGUCAGGGGAGCAAACGGG